AAGUCGUAACAAGGUUUCCGUAGGUGAACCUGCGGAAGGAUCAUUACAGAGUGAGGCGCAAGCCUAAACUCCCCACCCUUUUUUACUUGUUGCUUUGGCAGAUGCAAGUCUGCCAGGCCUACAAACUCUGUGUUUUGUUGUCUGAGUGUGGCUUUGAAUAUUAAAACUUUCAACAAUGGAUCUCUUGGCUCUG
Molecule: unclassified non-coding RNA, 193 nt
Rfam family: Eukaryotic small subunit ribosomal RNA (bases 1-46)